ACGAAAGGAAGAAAGAAAGCAAAAGGAAGAUUGAACGGAAAGGCAAAAACACCCAACCACCCAAUGGGGGUUCAUUUAUCUCUUCCUCUUCCCCUUCUUCGUCCUUUCCCUUCAACCUCUCCCUGAUG
Molecule: non-coding RNA, 128 nt
Filed under: Chromera velia
Lineage: Eukaryota; Chromeraceae
Source: RNAcentral